This 301-nucleotide ribosomal RNA is filed under the name uncultured bacterium. RNAcentral's name for it is "partial 16S ribosomal RNA". It matches the Rfam family "Bacterial small subunit ribosomal RNA", at positions 509 to 809 of the family's 1533-position model. The record is from RNAcentral.
CAGCAGCCGCGGGAAAACGUAGGGUGCAAGCGUUAUCCGGAAUUAUUGGGCGUAAAGAGCUCAUAGGCGGUUUGUCGCGUCUGCCGUGAAAGUCCGGGGCUCAACCCCGGAUCUGCGGUGGGUACGGGCAGACUAGAGUGAUGUAGGGGAGACUGGAAUUCCUGGUGUAGCGGUGAAAUGCGCAGAUAUCAGGAGGAACACCGUUGGCGAAGGCAGGUCUCUGGGCAUUAACUGACGCUGAGGAGCGAAAGCAUGGGGAGCGAACAGGAUUAGAUACCCGGGUAGUCCCUGUCUCUUAUAA